UUCAUACCUUAAAACAGGAAGGUCUGGAAUUCCAAUGGAAACACACAUAAGUUCAACCUUUGCAAAACAAGGAGUCAGUGGGGCUCAAUGAACCCUUGCUGGAUUCCUAGCCCCAGGUCCAGCUCCACAGGGUGGUCCUGGAUGUGCUUCUUUGGAAUCCUGCCAACUAUGCCAAGUAAAUGUCAAUGUAAGAAACAUUCAAACCUGUAGAGGAAAUUUUUUUACUUUAUUUGAGCCAAAUUGAUGACAAUUGCUAGGAAGCAAAAUCUCAACAAACUGAGAAAUGCUAUAGAGAAUGGCAGUUUAGCACCUUAUUUUAUACAUUACAAUGAAAAGAGGAGACAUAAGGGGGUUAUAAGAAAUCCAUUGGUGAUAGAUUAAGGAGGUGGGAGAAAGCAUGGAUGGAA
Molecule: long non-coding RNA, 407 nt
Organism: Phyllostomus discolor (pale spear-nosed bat)
Lineage: Eukaryota; Metazoa; Chordata; Mammalia; Chiroptera; Phyllostomidae
Exons: 3
Source: RefSeq, a predicted model, not a curated record